CAAUAGCGUAUAUUAAUGUUGUUGCAGUUAAAAAGCUCGUAGUUGGAUUUCUGGUGGGAGUGGCCGGUCCGCCGUAAGGUGUGUACUUGGUUGUCUCCCGUCAUCCUUGUGGGAACUGCUCUGGCAUUAAGUUGUCGGGGUUAGGGAACACAUCGUUUACUGUGAAAAAAUUAGAGUGUUUAAAGCAGGCUUAUGCCGUUGAAUACAUUAGCAUGGAAUAAUAGAAUAGGACUUUGGUUCUAUUUUGUUGGUUUCUAGGACCGAAGUAAUGAUUAAUAGGGACAGUUGGGGGCAUUAGUAUUUAAUUGUCAGAGGUGAAAUUCUUGGAUUUAUGAAAGACUAACUACUGCGAAAGCAUUUGCCAAGGAUGUUUUCAUUAAUCAAGAACGAAAGUUAGGGGAUCGAAGACGAUUAGAUACCA
Molecule: ribosomal RNA, 421 nt
Filed under: uncultured eukaryote
Lineage: Eukaryota
Description: bacterial SSU rRNA
Rfam family: Eukaryotic small subunit ribosomal RNA
Source: RNAcentral